RNAcentral lists this ribosomal RNA (496 nucleotides) under uncultured bacterium. Its description in RNAcentral is "bacterial SSU rRNA". It matches the Rfam family "Bacterial small subunit ribosomal RNA", at positions 427 to 916 of the family's 1533-position model. The record is from RNAcentral.
AAACCGCUUUUAGCCGGGAAGAAAAGGCGCGAGUUAAUACCUUGCGUUUUUGACGGUACCGGCGGAAUAAGCACCGGCUAACUACGUGCCAGCAGCCGCGGUAAUACGUAGGGUGCGAGCGUUAAUCGGAAUUACUGGGCGUAAAGCGUACGCAGGCGGUUCGUUGUGUCGGUGGUGAAAUCCCCGGGCUUAACCUGGGAAUGGCCAUGGAAACUGGCGAACUGGAGUGCGGCAGAGGGGGGUGGAAUUCCGCGUGUAGCAGUGAAAUGCGUAGAGAUGCGGAGGAACACCGAUGGCGAAGGCAGCCCCCUGGGCUAGCACUGACGCUCAGGCACGAAAGCGUGGGGAGCAAACAGGAUUAGAUACCCUGGUAGUCCACGCCCUAAACCAUGUCAACUGGGUGUUCGGGAAGCGAUUUCUGAGUACCGUAGCUAACGCGUGAAGUUGACCGCCUGGGGAGUACGGCCGCAAGGUUAAAACUCAAAGGAAUUGACGG